GUGCCAGCCGCCGCGGUAAUACCGGCAGCCCGAGUGAUGGCCGAUCUUAUUGGGCCUAAAGCGUCCGUAGCUGGCUGCGCAAGUCCGUCGGGAAAUCCACUCGCUCAACGAGUGGGCGUCCGGCGGAAACUCUCCGGCUUGGGACCGGAAGACCGAAGGGGUACGUCCGGGGUAGGAGUGAAAUCCCGUAAUCCUGGACGGACCACCGGUGGCGAAAGCGCCUUCGGAGGACAGAUCCGACAGUGAGGGACGAAAGCUAGGGUCUCGAACCGGAUUAGAUACCCGGGUAGUCC
This 293-nucleotide ribosomal RNA is filed under the name uncultured bacterium. RNAcentral describes it as "partial 16S ribosomal RNA". It matches the Rfam family "Archaeal small subunit ribosomal RNA", at positions 455 to 747 of the family's 1478-position model. The record is from RNAcentral.